CGGUGCCCGAGUUGUAAUUUGGAGAGGGCAACUUUGGGGCCGUUCCUUGUCUAUGUUCCUUGGAACAGGACGUCAUAGAGGGUGAGAAUCCCGUGUGGCGAGGAGUGCGGUUCUUUGUAAAGUGCCCUCGAAGAGUCGAGUUGUUUGGGAAUGCAGCUCUAAGUGGGUGGUAAAUUCCAUCUAAAGCUAAAUAUUGGCGAGAGACCGAUAGCGAACAAGUACAGUGAUGGAAAGAUGAAAAGAACUUUGAAAAGAGAGUGAAAAAGUACGUGAAAUUGUUGAAAGGGAAGGGCAUUUGAUCAGACAUGGUGUUUUGUGCCCUCUGCUCCUUGUGGGUAGGGGAAUCUCGCAUUUCACUGGGCCAGCAUCAGUUUUGGUGGCAGGAUAAAUCCAUAGGAAUGUAGCUUGCCUCGGUAAGUAUUAUAGCCUGUUGGAAAAACUGCCAGUUGGAAUUGAGACCUGCAACUAAAGCCAAGAAGGCUGGCUUAUGGGUUUUUUCCCCCCCGCCUUGAAAACACGGAACACAAUUUUUCUUUUUUUUUUUUUUUCUUUUUCUUUCUUCCUCUCUUUCUCCCUCUUU
RNAcentral lists this ribosomal RNA (580 nucleotides) under Saccharomyces cerevisiae (brewer's yeast). RNAcentral's name for it is "26S ribosomal RNA". The stretch from base 1 to 520 matches the Rfam family "Eukaryotic large subunit ribosomal RNA", at positions 132 to 664 of the family's 3401-position model. The record is from RNAcentral. Lineage: Eukaryota; Fungi; Ascomycota; Saccharomycetes; Saccharomycetales; Saccharomycetaceae.